Molecule: unclassified non-coding RNA, 10478 nt
Filed under: Pomacea canaliculata
Lineage: Eukaryota; Metazoa; Mollusca; Gastropoda; Architaenioglossa; Ampullariidae
Description: uncharacterized LOC112554521, transcript variant X14
Source: RNAcentral
AUAUUAUUAGUUUCAGUUUAUUAAAAUGUCUGCUCUCAACAGCUGCGGGAAGUAAGGAAGUAUAUGGGCAUGAAUUAUUAUUUUCAUAUGACGAAGACACGAUUUUUGUAAGAGUGUUUGGGGUGACUAAACUUGAUCCAAAAUGUCAGAUGCAGAUGAGCGUGCUUCCUGUGAUAAUACUUCAGAUCCAGAGGAAGGGGAGGAAGAACAACUUGCUACAUGUGGUGGCUCCUCCUCUCCUUCUCAUUUUGCACAGCCUUGUGACCAGUCUGUAGCGUCAGCCACAGAUGAUGGAGCAGACAACUAUAGCAUGGAAGUGCAUCUGGGAGGCGAUAACUCUCAACAUGCCAGUGAAAUCAGUUCCAUAUCUUAUCAGAACCUUCUGGAGGAAGGAGAGCCCACUGGCAGCAUCCUUUCUCGUAGGGGUAGCGAAGACAGUACUGAUUCCUAUCCACCAGAUUUCCCUGAAAGCAACCCCUCUGAUGAUAUAGAAACAUUUGAGGCAUCAGAUUUACCAUUGUCAGAACACUACAAUCUCAGGAUUAAACAGCUGCCUGCUAAAGCAUAUUCAUCCUCAGGAGGAGAAGAAGGUGAACCUAGGCAUGAGAGCUCAGCUAAAUCUGUUUCAGAGAGCAAAGACAAAAAGAAAGAUAGCUGUGCAGAAGGCGGAAAAAACUAUAGCACUGGUGACAGCAGUGGUAUAGAGAACAACACCCUACCUUUAGACACAGCCUUGUCAAAGAAAGCUUCGAAAAGCCUGAAUAUAUCGGAACCUGUUACUCCAGACACAUCGGCUGUCAUAAAAAGGAAAAGGUCUCCUCAGAUUAAUGCUUCUUCUCAUACCAAUCGACCAGAAGAUGGUGAGGAGGUUACAAGGAAGCGCAACAGCCUCGAAAUCCGCAAUAACAUUCCAGUAGUCGGUGAAGUGAAGAUGUGUGAUAGCAGUCCUCCAACUUGCACCCCACCGUUACAUGGGGCCAAGCCCAAAAUAAAAAACUUGAAACAGUCUCCUGGUCUAGCCCGAAGGGUAUGUGAUCAGUCUGGUACCAGGGACAGCUCAAGUUCAGAACGGGAAACAGAAGCACGCAGAAGUGGUGAACCUGUACAGUGCCCAGUGCACACACCUAUUAUGUUGCUGCAUGUGACGUCUACUGGCCAGGACGAGAGGGUCAUUGAUACUGAAAUCCCAACUGGUAAAGUUGAUAUAAUUGCUCCCUUGCGACGAAAUGUUGAUAUAGAAAAUGAAUAUGACUAUGUCAAAUAUGCCCGGGUUCAACAUGGAAACUCUUAUGUUGGGAUGCGUCUUGCCUACUCCAGCUCAAAUGACUCAUUAAGUUUGAAGCGUAACAGUGUUCACAGCCAUGGAAGUGACUCCAUUGAUAGUUCACGCGAGCCAUCACCAGAGAAAGUUCUUCAUCAGAAAAUGAUUGGUGAUUUAAAUGAGCAUAUAUCCCAAGACCGUGUUUGUGAAGAAACUCUGACCGAGAUUCCACUCAAUGCAUCAGAUUCAUGCCUCAAUGAAGGGAAAAAACCAUUUACUUUGUCGCCAGAAAACACGGAAUGUGACAGCGUUGAAGUAGAGAGUGUGACUUCUGAUGGAGAAAACUCCACACCGGGCUUCCCAACAGUGGAAGAUGGACUGUCUAGUAGCCAAGCAAGUGAUGCUGAAGAGGGUCCUAGUGGGGAUCACACUUCUCCAUCACACAUGCUGCGCAUGAAACAAAAAGCUGACCUAGAAAAUGACAUGAGAAAUUCUGAUGAUUCAUCAAGAGGAGGUCCCCGUGACAUAGAUGCACAAGCAAUUAUGAAUGAUUUGAAAGCUAAGCGGGAAGCUUUGGACAUGGCUAUUGCAGACAUCAAAUCUGCCAUACAGCGAAGCAAGCAGGUUGCAUUGCAGUCUCCUUAUGACAAUCAUCAGUCUGAUCAGAAUGAGCCAGUGUGGAUUCGCAGAGAUCCACCACAAGGAGAGCGAAAAGAACGACAAGAGGAGAUGCGCAGAGUGAGAGAGGAAAUAGAACGUCAGCAAGAAGAAAAAUACCAGCCAAAAGAAGACAAAGGUGAAGACAGUGAGACCAUUACUCUGUCACCAUUUCCUAACACUCAUGAAGUGACUGUGGAACCUGAAGAUGAGAGCAGCAGAAAGCCGAGAGUACUGCAUGGGUCGGGUUAUGAUUCUGAUGACGAAUGUGAAGAGGUUGGUGGCAUGCGGUACACUCGUCGUAACAAAGGCAAAAAAUAUGCCCCUCUCCGCAAAGAAGAUUCUUUAGAACAUGGGGCCAGCAUGGGGAGUGUGAAAGAAAAGAGUGGUUUUGGCAGCACUGCCACCAAUCAGAAUGCCAAUGGCCGAACCCCUCACUCUUCGAACUGUUCCAAUCACGUUAACAAUCUCAAGCAUAAUUCGCAUUCCCAGUAUUCUUCGGAAGAAAAUGGAAGUGAUGUCGAUCCAACCAGCAGGGGCUCGUAUGUACAACACCAGCAUGGAGAUUCUGACACAGAUGAAGAGACCGACCGUCUGCUGCAGAAACAGUAUCAAAGGAGAGAUCAGUAUGUGGAAAUCCCAGAGCUUGACAAUCAGGCUGUCCAGCAACAGACACAGGCACAAAUGCAUCAAUCAAAGGCAAAAGAAGUUGCCAUUCGUGAUCCUGACCGACCUGAAGUGCUAAUUGAAGGGGUUCUUUUUCGUGCCCGAUACUUGGGCUCCACACAACUUGUGUCAGAAGGUCAGCCAUCCAAAGCAAUGCGCAUGAUGCAAGCUCAGGAGGCAGUCGGCCGUAUCAAGGCUUCGAGGGAGACUUUGGGCGUUUUGCAUUUUGGUGAUCGAUAUCAGGCCCCGGAAGGAGAGAGUCAGCCCAGCACAGACGUGGACCUCUUCGUCUCCACAGAGAAGAUCAUGGUGCUCAACACUGACCUGCAGGAGAUAAUGAUGGACCACUCUCUUCGCACCAUCUCCUACAUCGCUGACAUCGGCGACAUUCUAGUCAUAAUGGCACGUCGUCGCAUCCUGACAAGUCCUGAUGAGACGCUGAUGCGUCGUCGCCGGCAGGCCAAGAUCUUGUGCCACGUCUUCGAGUCUGACGAGGCACAGCUGAUAGCACAGUCCAUCGGCCAAGCAUUUCAGGUGGCAUACCUUGAGUUUCUCAAAGCAAAUGGCAUUGAGGACCCUGGCCUCCUACGGGAGAUGGACUACCAGGAUGUCCUCAACCAGCAAGAAAUCUAUGGAGAGGAGUUACAGCUGUUUGCCAACAAAGACUUUCAUAAAGAGGUGAUUGUACCCAAGAUGAAAGGUGAACCACUAGGAGUGGUGAUUGUGGAGUCAGGCUGGGGAUCCAUGGUGCCUACAGUUGUACUGGCCAACAUGCUGCCCAAUGGGCCGGCAGCACGCUGUGGACAGCUAAACAUUGGUGAUCAAAUCAUAUCCAUCAAUGGAGUGUCUCUGGUGGGGCUUCCUCUUUCUGCAUGUCAGACCUAUGUCAAGGCAUCCAAACACAGACUGUGGUGAAGCUGACUGUUGUUCCCUGCCCUCCUGUGGUUGAGGUGCUGAUCAAGCGCCCUGACGUCAAGUAUCAACUCGGCUUCAGUGUCCAGAAUGGAGUGAUCUGCAGCCUGUUGAGAGGGGGCAUAGCAGAAAGAGGUGGAGUGCGAGUAGGGCAUCGCAUCAUUGAAAUCAACAACCAGAGUGUUGUUGCCGUACCUCACGAGAAAAUAGUGUCUCUUCUUGCAAAUUCUGUGGGAGAGAUCCACAUGAAGACCAUGCCCACCUCAAUAUUUCGGCUGCUGACAGGACAAGACAUACCUCACUACUUAUAGUGACUGCUCAGCCCUGCUACCAUGCAUCCAACAUGGACUUGCAUAGAGAGAAGUUGCAGAUGAAUGGCUGUCAGCAAAGAAAGUUAUGACGACCUACAUUUUUGUUGUAGAUCAAGUCAGGCAUCACAGAUUUGCCUGAAAGAGUAUACCAAACUAAGAGAGAUAGCUGCAGUCAUAGAUUUAAUGCAUUUAUAAACAUUUUUUAGUUUUUUAUGGGGUUCGAAGAAAGAUGGAAACAUCAGCGUCCGUGAAGGUUCCAUAACACACAGUUAAGUGUGUUUGCGGUGAAAAUGUGUCAAAGACUUUCACUUUACAUUCAUCUUAACUGCUGGUCAAGUGAAAAGUCUUUUUAGUAAGCACACAGCCCCUCAGCAAGGUUUUUUCCUGUUUCAUGAAGCUAAGGAAAGUGGUGUCUCCAUAGGUAUGGUAACCUGAGUUUGACUUUUUAGUCAAAAGGUUUGAAGUUGAUUACAGUAGAAAAGGCUACACUACGUUCCAGGAUUCAAGACACCAGGUGGAAGUUUGCAGCAUGUGUUGAUUGUACAAAUCAUUUAUUAAAGGAGGCGAAGCUCGUGACAGAAAAAUGUAAAGCGAGGAAACUUGAAUACAUUUCUCUAAGUUGCCCAUAAACCCCAGUGGUUUCUUGAGUAACGACAGACUGAAGCAGGCUUUACAUGACUGUGUGUUGUAAAGCUGGAGGCACAAUAGGCUAACGAUUGUGUGUAAUUAGAUAUUGAUUGAGGGCUGGUUGAUUGAUGCAGAGGUCUGGGGCUAGGGAAAUAGCAGUUUCUGUGAAAAGCACAUGUUUUGGGAUUUUGACAUUGUGUUCAUAGGAAGAAAAAACUUUUUUUUUUUUUUGUUUUUUGGGGUUUUUUUUUGAUAAAUGACUUUCAUGUCUGCUGUGGUCUCUAAGUACGUGCAGUAGAUUUAUUGCCCACUACUUAACUGUAAAAAUAAGUUUGAAUAGGUAGUCUUAGAAAUCUAGGCAUUUCUUUCUUUAUCUUGUUUGGGGGUGGGGGAAGAAUGUACAUGCAUGUCCUGUUCUAGAUUAAGGAGGAGGGGGGAAUUGGUGUUUUACGCGGAGCCAGCAACUAGGGCUACAUCACCGCAAAGCAGCCAUCCCUGUAAAAGGUUGUCACAUGCAGAAAAAGAACGGUAUGCCCGAGACGAGAGCUGAACCCAAGACAGCCAACCUUCACAGCCUGUAUUGGUGACAGGUGCUAACCGUUGCACCAACGGACUGACCUCUCUAGAUUAAGGAGUAUGCCCUAAGUAUGAAGUAACAGUUUAAUGUAACAGGCUGGGGAUUUUAGUUUAGCUGUUCCAUUUUAGCAAUAUUUCAACUACAUUUAUGCACACACAUGCAUUCACUCUUCACCUAAGAAUUUUUCAGUAGAGACCUUUUUAACUGUUGUUGUUGAAGAAUAUUCGUUUUCACUUGCCAUGACUCUUUUUAAGUGAUAGCAAACCUGCCUUUGAUGUACAUGUUGUAAAGAGCUUGUUAGCAUGGUUUAUACUAGAUAUUAUGAAACAGAGUAUUUGCAUUGCCUACCUCUGUCCAUUCUUCACUGGCUUGAACUACAAACCCAGUCCACUCUCAUUUUAAAAAAUAUUAAAGAAAUCUGUUUGUGCUGGAUCAUGUUUGAUGAGUGUAAUGCAAGUGACGGAUAAGAAGAGCUGAAUUAUUCUUGUGUUAUUUUGUGCCUUCUGUCAUAGUUUGGAAUAUAUGUAGAAUCUCUCUGAUUCAGUUAUUAGUUUUCCUUUGGGAGGGUCUUUAUAUUUGUUAAUGCUCCCUUCUUGAAAGACAUUUCAAAGUUUUGGAGAAUUUUCUGUAUUUCAUGGGAACAGGAAACCUUAAUAUUUUAAACAUUCUGUUUUGUGAUGUCAAAAUUUGAUUUCUGGAUUUGGGAAUAUGAUAAUUUUAAAAACAAGUUUUGACAUGCAAAAGCCUGUUUUGUUUAGGUGUGUUGACAAGUUUAUUGAACGAUUCUUUUUAACUUGAGGGAGACAAGUCACAUAGUACUGUAUCAACAAAAGUUCGAUCAUGAAAAUGAACAUAAGGAGAAACCAUUGGUAAAGAAUCACCAAUUCAUUACCUUUUUUGUUUUUGUAGUAAGCUAUCAUGCUUUCUGUGUCUAGCAUAAAGUUAAAACCAUAAUAGUGUAUAAUGAUUUUCUGCCUUGCCAGUGGCUUUUAUUGUGUACAUACCAAGAAGUCUAAACGUGUUUUUAUAACUGACCUUGGCAGUCUGCCUUUAGAACAGUCAUAUAUUAUUAUUCAUACUGGCAGCAUAAUGCUUCCUGUUUUGGCAGUGUUACAGUUGCAUUAUGGAUUUCACUUCUGUAUGACUUGUAAUUCCUUUGUCAAGCCAUGGUAUCAGUUAGGAUGGCCUUGGAAGGAAAAGAACCAGAAACAGGCAUCUUGCAAGUUUACCAGUUCUUACUGUGUUUAAUCAUUGUCACAAAAUGAUGCAAAUUGGAAGUGGUGAGAUGUACACUCAUACCAUGAUGAAGGCAGAACAUGUUUUGGGUCAUGCAUGCCAUAAACUGUUGGUGACAAGUUUUGUGGGGGGUUUUUAUGUGAUGUGAUCGUUAACUAACCCUCUGUUUGCUCUUUCAUUCUGAGUUCUAUAUUAGUGGCAAAAGCUUGCUUGCUCAAGGCCUUUCAGCUCUGUUUAAAUGCAUCAAUGCAGGAUCAUUGUCUGAAUCUAAGUAAGUUUUAAAUGCAGAAGUUUGUAAACUGUUUUUUAGACAUGGUGAUAUAAGAUGAACAUUGUUGAAUGUAUGAAACUGGGUUAUGAAUACUAUUUGAUGAACCUCAUCCUGUCCUCAUGAUAUUUAUCAAAUUUAAAGUCAGUCUGGCUGUCACCAAUGCUAGCAGAAGCAGUGUAAGGAAGAUGUGAAAUUUCAACAGUUUGGGAUUUCAUUUGAGAAUAUAAGCUCAACUCCCAGUAUUCUAUGACUUUUGGGUGGCUAGUUUUGCUGCUAUAAACUAUGUGAUUAACUGUAAUUUAGCAAUUCAGUAGUUUAUUGUUAGUUGUGCUGUUGUAAUACUAUUGACAAUAAUUUAGAAAUGAAAUAGUUUUAUUAUUGCCAGCCCUGUUUAUGAACAGAACAUGAGUUUCAAAAUUUUUUGUUUCAUGUCCUGCAGUCACUUGUUUUUAAAUUUAUUUCAUGGGGUUUUUUUCCUAGUGCUCUGUGUGUGUGUGUUUUGGGGGAGGGGGGGGAUAAGAGUGUGUGCAUGAGUACAAGCAAGCACCAGCAUGCAUUCAUGUAUGGCAAUCUGUGUACUUAGGAGGUGAGUAAGAAGGGUUUUUUUCUUCGAUAUUUAAAGACCCAAGAUUUUCAUGGUCAUUGCACAUAGAUUUUUGCAUGCAUUUCUAGUUUAUUUUUCUAGGUAGUAAUCAAGUUGACAUAGAACAGGGAAACUAAAUUUUUGUUGAUAAAUAUGGAUUGGUAGAGCAAAGUAAUGUAAAAAUACAGUUGAUGAGCCCUGCGACCAGUUUUGGCACUUCUUUGUCUCUCUAGCUUUUGCAAUUCCAACACUUAAAUUUCUGUUUUGCUUUUGAAGAGAAUCAUGUAGUAGUAGCCACAUAUUCAAAUUCAUAAUCAAAUUCACAGUUUAGGAAAAAAUACAGUUGCUGUUAUUACCUGUGUGUGGUUAAAAUGUUUAUGACGCAAAAGAAUAAAAGAUCUUUUUAACAGUUCUUGCCAUAGAGACUGGCAACUCUCCUGUUUUUCAGGGAUUUGAGGAUUCCAGCAUGCAUAAUUUUUUUAAGCGUGUUUCACAUGUACAACAUGGUGUUAAUGUACAUCUGUACAGAAUGCGUUUUCAUUGCAUAUUGCUUCAGUGACAUGUAUAAUUAAUAAUGGCAGUAAGUACUGUUCCAUUGUGAGCAAUCGUAACUGUUUUUGAAGGUUAAAACUUGCUCAUGUCAUAUUGUGUUCUUUAUGUGUUUUAUCAAUAUUUGCAUUAAGAGCUCUAUGUGCAUUUUUUUCUUCGUGUUUUAUGUUAAUAAUGCCAGUUUCUGAGACUAGUUUAAUCCAAAGUUAAUUAUUAUGCACAGAGGAAACUAAAGGUGGGAGCAAAAUGUGUGGCAGAUGGGGCAUUAUUUUUUUUUCUUUUCAUUUUACUUUGCACCUUUCAGUUUGAGCGAAUUGUCUGUGAGGUCAUUUUUCUGUAAAUAAUUACUGUGGUAACUGAUACCAUACCCGUGAUACUUAUUUUUGAGGAUUUGUGCAAUAAAUGUUUUUGUUUGCAACAUGUCGUUUAACAUCAGGCUGUACAGUCUUGGCUAUCCUUGCAGUGAAAAACCUUAAUUUGCCAAAGGGCCUUUCUUGUGUCAGACACCUUCUAUUUAUAUGUUGGUUUUUGGCUUGUGUGUGUCUUUCACCAAAAUGCAUUUAUCUGCGUUCUUUUUAUAUUUAUGCUCACCUGUAAUGUUGGUUUCAUUAGUAAAUUUUCUAACAAAUUUCAUGUUUGCAAUCAUCUUGCACAUCAGUAGCAAUCUUUCCAACGAAGUUUAUACUUCCUUUAAAAAAUAAUUAGUUAAGAAAGACUGCUGCUUUGUACAUUGCUCUCCAAAUCUGUUUUGCUUAGCUAACCCUUUUACUCUGUGAAGUCUUGUCUGUGAGGUAUCAGCAAAUAAAACUAAUGAGAUGCAAAGAUUUUAGGGAAACAACUGAGAGCACACUAUUCCAGUAAAUUAGUCAAUUUUCUCCUUUUUCUCCACAUUUUGCUGUUCAGCAACUCCACAGUGCAGCUGAAACAGUAAAGGGCAUAAUGAGGUUCAGCUGUGAGGCAUUGUUCUCGGAUUCAGGCCUGAGCAAGCACAGGAGGUCUGUCACAGUUUUGGCAGACACAAGAAUGUUCUCUCCAGUUUGAUCUACUUGUCCAGAAUCACAGACCUUUGCUUCCUGUCUUGAACUUUGGCAUUUGUGAUUUCAGAAGUAUGUUCUGUUUAUUUGGUGGCAAUUAUUUUUCAUUCUAAUGUGUUUGUAAUUAAUUGGCACUUUUAAUUCUUUGUCUGUGUGCGUGUGUAAAUGCUUAAGUGUGAAAAAAGGGGAUUUUUGCACCAAACUUAGCAGUGCAGAGGCUUUAGAAAAAUAGCAAAAGCAAAGUAACGAUAAAGUUUUUUCGCAUCAAAGCACAGUCUUGUUUAAAUGUUUUUUAAACUGGUUUUCACCUUUUAGAAACACGGCAACGCUCUGGAGCUGGUGAUGGACUAUUUCCACGGUACUGCUGACCCUAUGCAAUGAUUUGGUCAGGGGGCUGCAAUGUUAAAAGACAUCAAAUGUUAAAUAUUUUCUGCAAAGGUAACUUACCUAUCAUUUCAUUGAUCUGGUAGACACACUUUCAAACUGGACCAGCUGGGUUUCCCUCGCCUAUCUACCCUCUUGCCUUUGUUGCUAUUUUGGACUCGUCUCUUUAGUGUGGGAAAAGGAAUUGGACUGAUAUUGGUUCUGAGGUGUCUGUAGUGGUCAGGAGGUCUUGUAAAAUUCACACACAUCUAUGGUUGUAUAACGGGCCUCUUACAGAACUAAAGUUGUCAUAUAGGCCUGAAAGAGGUUUGUAAUUUGAUAAAUAUUACAUGCAAAGUAACAUAAUACAUAACAUACAGAAUACAUUCUUCCAUCUCCAGAUCCGUAACAGAGCCGCUGGUUGGUGAUCCUUUGCACACACAUAUCAACUAUUUUUUAAAGUCUUGGCUAGGGUAAAGAAUGUUGGGAAUGUUGUGUAUCAAUAAAUUCAUUAGUACACUAAUUUUCUGCCAGAAAAUCAUUUUAUUUUCAGUUUAUCUCCUACAUUUCCCCCCUCCCCAUCUCCCCUUUUUUUUUUUUUUAAAGUAAAAGGUCGAGGUCACAUUUAGUGUAAUGUCUAAAUUUAGAAGAUUUCUUCAUUGGGAGUCAGCAUUGGUUUGUCAGAUGGCAGUCAUACAUUUUAAAAGUAAUGCACCCAAUACAUCCAUGAAUACCUUUCCCCAAUUCCGGCUGCAUAAGCUUAUGGCCAUGCACCUGUAAUAAUCAGCCUAGAUUUUGUGAAAGAUGGUGGUGAAGAGGCUGAAAUGUAUACUACUGCUGGUACCUUUUCCUGGCCUUGCUGAACACCCUGGCCCCCACACCCAUUCCACCGAAAUAAUAAUUAAAAAAAAACACGCAUACCAAAGAAAUCUAUUGUUUCAUUCCAUAAAUUGUCUAAAUUACGCCCUCAGUGUAAAAGGCUGUUCACAAAAGCAUGUUAGUAAACUGCCCUCUUUAAAAACAGUGUUUGUUGAUCGUCUAUUCUCUAACAUUGGCAUUUUCUUGCCGGGGAAAGUUAGAUAAAAAUUAAGGAAUUGAUACAAGCACCUAAAUUACUGGUUUGUCUUUCCUCCUCUUGUGGUAAUGUUACAGUAUCCAAAAAAUUGUCCCUAUUGCUUUGUUGAUUUAAGUGCUUAUGUAUUGGUCAUAUGGUUUCACAAGGCUUUUGUGUCAAUCCUUCCAUUUCUGUGUAACAUUUUUGCUGUUGCAUAGGUUUUGCAUUUGUCUGCAGUUGUUGUACAUGUUGCUUGUGUACUGUAAGUUUGCAGAUUAACGAGCCAUGCCCUGUAACGGUAUUAUAAUGUGAAUGUAUGAGUGAAUGCCUUGGCUGAAAAUGCCGAAAGGUAAAUAAAAUAUGCUAUUUACCAAUCA